UAAAAACUGAGCUCGCCAAACAUGUGAAUACAAAAUACUCCCAAUUAAACUCUAAACUUCCAACAUCUCCAAAUAAUCUUUAUAAUAUAACAACACUUUUAUAUUUUCAUAAUUGAAUAAAUCCUCAAUAGUAUGUUAGAUCCAUCAAUUAAUUGCAUUCAUUAUAUCUAUCAAGUCUUAAUGAACUAAUCAUAUCAACUGACUUCAAAUAUUUCAUAUUCAAUCAUUUAAUAAAUCUUAUUCUUCUCUCCAAAUAUAUACAUCAAAAUACUUUAUAAUUACAUACUUCAAUUAUAUUUCAAAUAACAUAAUAUCUGGAAAUGUAACAAUUAUACAUGCCAUAAUUCUUCAUUAUAUAAAUCUCAAUCGACUACUCCCAAAUUAGUCACUUCUGCUUUGAUACUAUUCUUCUAAUCUUCAAGUAGCAACAACAUCUUCAACCUACGCGUGAUAAAAAUCGACGCGCUGAGUAUAAAACUCAGUGGUGCUCAUAAUUCACAUACUUACCAAGUUGCGAUAGCAACUUACUUUAAAACAAAUUUCAUAAAAUUAUUUACAAUCAUAAAUGCAUUAAAAUUCAACAUACAUUUCCAUUUAUAGCAAAACAAAUAGCACAUAUACUAGUAAUUAAUAACAUAAAGAAUUUAAUUCUUUAUACCAUAAAUCCUUUACUUAAGACAUUUUAUCAUCAUAAAUACUUUGGUUCCUUCAAAUAAACUUAUAAUUAAUAACAUAAAUAAUUCUUUCAAAUCAUAAAUUCAUUACUUAAACAUUAUACCAAUACAUAUACUCUUUAUUUUUAAUACCAUGUACCGAAAUAUUAUGCUUUGAAAAUUCAUUUGAUAACAUAAUCAGUAAUUUCCAAAGUAAUGUUUACUAAAAUAAUAUGAUCUCAUUCGUUUAAUUAUAUUACAGAUAUUUUCCA
RNAcentral lists this long non-coding RNA (925 nucleotides) under Jatropha curcas. Its description in RNAcentral is "long non-coding RNA (JCUR_LNC002135)". The record is from RNAcentral. Lineage: Eukaryota; Viridiplantae; Streptophyta; Magnoliopsida; Malpighiales; Euphorbiaceae.